GUGGUGGCGUUGUGUUCUACAUCCUUGCUGAUCCCUGGCUUCAGGGAAACUGUGGGUGUGUGGGAGUCGGCCGGGAAGUCUGGCUCACACAGAUGUGUGGUGGGAGGCCGAGGUGGCAGUAACCGUCUUCCUGCACCUGCCCUGAGGUCGGGAGCGAGCUUCCCUGAGGGGCAGGUGCCACGGGGAGGCUCGCCGUCGGGGCUCCUUCGAUUCACAGGAAUAGCUCUGCCUUGUGCUGCAGUGACGUCUGCUGUGACAGCUUUGGGACACAGCUGCCGGGCAGGGGGACGUGGCACCGCGCGACCCAGAUCUCCCCGGCGCUGACACAGCUUGUCAGCAGCACCCAGCAGUCACAUCCUCUGGGUCCCGCCCGCCCGCUGGCAGAGGUGCCUCCAGGCAGGGAAGUCCCUAGCUCGUGCACACAUGCCGCCUGAGCUUGGCUCGAAAGUUUGAACUGUGCCCGUGGUGACAAACACCGCGGCUCCCUUUUCGAGGAGAGACCUGCCAGCUACCACGGCGGGACAGCAGCACAUCUGCCGGUCCUCUUGAGGAAGAAGGGUCCCUUGUGUUGUCUGUUCACGUCCAAGUGUCAGAGUCACACAGUCGCCAUCGAGCUCAGGCAGGGACCAGGGCGCCGUGUGCACUGCCGCAUAAAAGGGCUUGGAGCCCGGACUGCGUGCAGCUUCUGGCCUUGCUGAGGUGGUGGGAAGAGUGGGCCUGCGCCAGAGCCUUGGUGCCUGCACCCACCUGCCAUGUGCUGUCCUCACAGAUGCCAGUCAGUGUGGCCCAGCCAGUGACCAAGCACAUUAUGUAGCACUUUGAGGGUGCCUGCAUCAAGGUGGCACUCACCAAGUGGGUUCGGGAGCCCUGAGGAGGAUUUUACAGUUCGACAAGAGACAGCCUGAGUGACACCCCAGAACGAAAAACACACCACACAGUUUAACUUUGGAGCCACUCUCAAGUGUUCCUUAGUAGCACUGAGCACACCUGCACUGUGCAGCUAUCACUACCGUCCACCGUGGUGCUUUUCCAGCCUCCCAAAUGGAAAUUGUCCCCACAAAACACUGCUCCACUGUGGCCCAGCCCCUGCCUGCCAUUCUGCCUGUCCCUGGGCGUGUGCCUGCUCGAGGGCCCUUCUAGAAGUGGAGUCAGCGCAUCUGUCCUCACGGCAGGACCCAGGCCGAGCCUCUUCUGGCAGUGUGUGUCCAUGGCGCACUCUCCACUUCGGGCCUCUUGUGUCCGCCACUCUGAGCACAGGAUUGCUGCAUCAACAGGAGGACGAAGAGCCGGGCCUGGUGGCUCAUGCCUGUAAUCCCAGCACUCGGAAGGCUGAGGCAGGAGGAUUGCUAUGCGUUCGAGACCAGCUUGGGCUACAUAGUGAGUUCCAGGUCAGUCUCAACUACAUAGUGAGACCCUGUCUCAAAAAAUAAAAAAAAAAAAAAAAUACAAAGGCUGGGGAUUUAGCUUAGUGGUUCUGCCACCUGCCUCAAAAACGCAACUUCCUGAAUUCAAUCCCCCGUACAAAAAAAAAAAAAAAAAAACACAAAGGCUGGGGAUUUAGCUUAGUGGUUCUGCCACCUGCCUCAAAAACGCAACUUCCUGAAUUCAAUCCCCCGUACAAAAAAAAAAAAAAAAAAACACAAAGGCUGGGGAUUUAGCUUAGUGGUUCUGCCACCUGCCUCAAAAACGCAACUUCCUGAAUUCAAUCCCCCGUACAAAAAAAAAAAAAAAAAAAAAAAAAAAAGGAAGACACAUUUCGAUCUCUGAGAAAACACCUUCCCCAGACGCUGAACCAGUGUCCCAUACCCGUCAGGAGCCAGUCACAGCCUGCAUAUCAAAGACUAGAUUUGAAGAAGCACAGAACAGAACAAUAUGUGCAAAUUCUGAGAGAAUUAGCAGGCGUCAGGCGCCGUGGCCAAGUGGAACUUGUGUAGGAGUGUGCAGUGGCCUCCUGGACACCCACUCUGCAGCACCUCCUCCCUCCUUGCCAGCCUGUCCUUCCAGGGGUCCUGCCUACGCCCGGGAAGCGCUGCCCCUAGAGUUGGGUGGUGUCUGGAGCGUCCUGCCCUGUGGAUGCUCAGCUGGCUGGGAGCUGCGCUUCCCAGACUCCCAGCCCUGCCACGGGGACUGGACAGGUGGAGACUCAGGGUCGGGAGAGACCGGGCUCUAGCUCCUUCCUGCUGGCCCUCCUGCUGCAGCAGCUCCCAGGGCUACCUGGGACUCUGCCACCCUGCUAGGACCCCUGAGUUCCUGUGACAGAGCUCCUCCCUCUCCAGCGAC
This 2280-nucleotide long non-coding RNA is filed under the name Fukomys damarensis (Damara mole-rat). RNAcentral describes it as "lncRNA (ENSFDAG00000029759.1)". Lineage: Eukaryota; Metazoa; Chordata; Mammalia; Rodentia; Bathyergidae. The record is from RNAcentral.